CCUACGGGAGGCUGCAGUGGGGAAUAUUGCACAAUGGGGGAAACCCUGAUGCAGCGACGCCGCGUGAGUGAAGAAGUAAUUCGUUAUGUAAAGCUCUAUCAGCAGGGAAGAAAAUGACGGUACCUGAGUCAGAAGCCCCGGCUAACUACGUGCCAGCAGCCGCGGUAAUACGGAGGGGGCCAGCGUGAUCCGGAUUUACUGGGUGUAACGGGAGCGUAGACGGCAGUGCAAGUCAGGAGUGAAAGGCGGGGGCUCAACCCCCGGACUGCACUGGAAACUGGACGGCUGGAGUGCAGGAGAGGUAAGUGGAAUUCGUGGUGUAGCGGUGAAAUGCGUAGAUAUUAGGAGGAACACCAGUGGCGAAGGCGGCUUACUGGACUGUAACUGACGUUGAGGCUCGAAAGCGUGGGGAGCAAACAGGAUUAGAUACCCGUGUAGUC
RNAcentral lists this ribosomal RNA (440 nucleotides) under uncultured bacterium. Its description in RNAcentral is "partial 16S ribosomal RNA". It matches the Rfam family "Bacterial small subunit ribosomal RNA", at positions 338 to 795 of the family's 1533-position model. The record is from RNAcentral.